This 197-nucleotide microRNA precursor is filed under the name Gossypium raimondii (Peruvian cotton). Its description in RNAcentral is "miR8641 stem-loop (gra-MIR8641)". Lineage: Eukaryota; Viridiplantae; Streptophyta; Magnoliopsida; Malvales; Malvaceae. The record is from miRBase by way of RNAcentral.
UUUUUUUUUUUUUACUUUGGGACACUGAUGGCUAGGACCUUAAAAAAAUUAAAUACACUGGUGCCAACCAACAAUGUUCCAAAAUUAAAAAAAAAAUACAUUGGGAGCCGAAAAUUAUACUUGGUGCUGGCCAUGUAAAAAAAUUUUAAAUACACUAAUACCGGCCAUUAGUGUCCCAAAGUAAAAAAAAAUGUCUU